UCGAGAAUCUUCCACAAUGGACGAAAGUCUGAUGGAGCGACGCCGCGUGAUUGAUGAAGUCCUUCGGGACGUAAAGAUCUUUUAUGCGUGAGAAAGUAAUUGAUGUUAGCGCAUGAAUAAGGGGCUCCUAACUCUGUGCCAGCAGGAGCGGUAAUACAGAGGCCCCAAGCAUUAUCCGGAAUCACUGGGCGUAAAGGGUGUGUAGGCGGUCGUAUUAGUCUUUUGUUAAAGUUCCAGGGCUUAACCCAGGAAAUGCAGGAGAAACGGUACGACUUAGAGGACGCGAGAGGUAGAGGGAACUCAUGGUGUAGGGGUGAAAUCCGUUGAUAUCAUGGGGAACACCAAAUGCGAAGGCACUCUACUGGCGCGCUCCUGACGCUGAAACACGAAAGCGUGGGAAUCGAACGGGAUUAGAUACCCCGGUAGUCC
RNAcentral lists this ribosomal RNA (429 nucleotides) under uncultured bacterium. Its description in RNAcentral is "bacterial SSU rRNA". It matches the Rfam family "Bacterial small subunit ribosomal RNA", at positions 355 to 796 of the family's 1533-position model. The record is from RNAcentral.